GUGAAUCAUCGAAUUUUUGAACGCAACUUGCACUUUCUGGAAUCCCGGAAAGUAUGCCUUUUUGAGGGUCGGUUAAAUAAAAAUCGGUGUUGUUGCUGUUUUUCUUGUUGACGCGACGGAAUUGAGUUGUCUUACCUUCGGUUAAGUACCUUAAAUUUUUGCAUGAUUUUCGACGGUAUUUAAAUUUCUUCCGUACGUUUGAGAUAUCGAAUAUUUUAUUAGUUUCGGCCAUCCUGUUGUUUCAAACUUAUAAUUUUUCAUUAAAUGACCUAAAAU
Molecule: unclassified non-coding RNA, 276 nt
Filed under: Glomus sp.
Lineage: Eukaryota; Fungi; Glomeromycota; Glomeromycetes; Glomerales; Glomeraceae
Description: partial internal transcribed spacer 2
Rfam family: 5.8S ribosomal RNA (bases 1-71)
Source: RNAcentral